Molecule: long non-coding RNA, 377 nt
Organism: Daphnia magna
Lineage: Eukaryota; Metazoa; Arthropoda; Branchiopoda; Diplostraca; Daphniidae
Exons: 3
Source: RefSeq, a predicted model, not a curated record
AGCUAGGCUGUUCAUUUUGAGAUGUUGACCAACGACGUUAGUCAGAGUUCUGAUACUGAUUCCAGUGAAGAGUUUGAGCUUAUAUACCGACGCUUUGCUACAAUUUCGAAAGGGAACCGAAUCCACACAAAGGUUUGGGCAAUUUCGAUUGCUUGCUUUUGAUCACUUCUUCAUCCAACACGAUGAAUCCGUCCAUCAUGCCGACGAAAACCAUCUGGCGUUCUUCCUCGCCAGCUGGAUUUGCUGAAGAAGCGCCAAAGACUACGACAAAACAGUAAAAUAGUUCAUGGUGAAUCCGGUCAAGGUUGUCGGAAUUCUGAUGCGGAAACGAAGAAGGAUUUUGAACUUAUAUAGCCUAGCGAAGUAAACCCUACUGG